AAACCGUUCAGGGGUAAACCUGAGAAACCCAAAAGAUCGAAUGGGGAGAUUCAUCGUCAGCUCAUUUUGUAUAUAUAUGAGUUAUGAUAUGGGUUACUACUUGUAGUAUUGCCUGUACAUUCUUUUAUAUUUUAUUGCAAGAUGUUGUCGGCGUGCACUUCUCCCCUAGUAGGACGUCGCGACCCGUUGAGUGUCGGUCUACGGCCCGAGUGGUAGCCUUUAAUUCUUGUAAUUAAAGACCCUUGGUGUUUCCUGACUGACUGCUCGGCGGUAUUCGUACGGUAUUAAGCCGCAUUUAUGCGUUCAUAUCCGUCGCAAGCCCGGUCAAUUUUUAGUAGUACGGACCUAGUGCCGUCGCUAUAAUUGAUCAGCUGUUGGUUGUACGGUAUUCUAGAACUGGCUUAACAUAUACCGGUCUGCGAUGCUACUGCUUUGGGUACUUUCAGGA
Molecule: ribosomal RNA, 448 nt
Filed under: Opius pachymerus
Lineage: Eukaryota; Metazoa; Arthropoda; Insecta; Hymenoptera; Braconidae
Description: eukaryotic LSU rRNA
Source: RNAcentral